AUACGUAGGUGGCAAGCGUUGUCCGGAAUUAUUGGGCGUAAAGCGCGCGCAGGCGGUCCUUUAAGUCUGAUGUGAAAGCCCACGGCUCAACCGUGGAGGGUCAUUGGAAACUGGGGGACUUGAGUGCAGAAGAGGAAAGUGGAAUUCCAAGUGUAGCGGUGAAAUGCGUAGAGAUUUGGAGGAACACCAGUGGCGAAGGCGACUUUCUGGUCGGUAACGGACGCUGAGGCGCGAAAGCGUGGGGAGCAAACAGGAUUAGAUACCCUGGUAGUCCACGCCGUAAACGAUGAGUGCUAAGUGUUAGGGGGUUUCCGCCCCUUAGUGCUGCAGCUAACGCACUAAGCACUCCGCCUGGGGAGUACGGUCGCAAGACUGAAACUCAAAUGAAUUGACGGGG
RNAcentral lists this ribosomal RNA (397 nucleotides) under uncultured bacterium. Its description in RNAcentral is "partial 16S ribosomal RNA". It matches the Rfam family "Bacterial small subunit ribosomal RNA", at positions 523 to 918 of the family's 1533-position model. The record is from RNAcentral.